ACGAAAGAUUGACGAUUGGUAAGAAUCCACAACAAGUUGUUCUUCAUAGAUGUAUCUGAGGGUCUGUAGCUCAGUUGGUUAGAGCACACGCUUGAUAAGCGUGGGGUCACAAGUUCAAGUCUUGUCAGACCCACCAUGACUUUGACUGGUUGAAGUUAUAGAUAAAAGAUACAUGACUGAUGAUGUAAGCUGGGGACUUAGCUUAGUUGGUAGAGCGCCUGCUUUGCACGCAGGAGGUCAGGAGUUCGACUCUCCUAGUCUCCACCAGAACUUAAGAUAAGUUCGGAUUACAGAAAUUAGUAAAUAGAGAUUUCGGUCUUGGUUUAUUAACUUCUGUGAUUUAAGUAUCACGGUAUUAAGCAUGACCUGACGAAGGCGUGUUUAUUCAUUAACAGAUUGGCAAAAUUGAGUCUGAAAUAAAUUGUUCACUCAAUAACAAAGAGAGAUGAAGUAAUUCUGAUCUUGGAGUUAAUUGAGAACUAGCAAAUUAACUGAAUCAAGCGUUUUGGUAUAUGAAUUUAGAUUGAAGCUGUACAGUGUUUAAGUACACAGUACUCUAAACUGAAAUGUUGAAGUUACUAACUUGUAGGUAACGUCGACUGUUUGGGGUUGUAU
Molecule: transfer RNA, 615 nt
Filed under: Acinetobacter nosocomialis
Lineage: Bacteria; Pseudomonadati; Pseudomonadota; Gammaproteobacteria; Moraxellales; Moraxellaceae
Rfam family: tRNA (bases 60-133)
Source: RNAcentral